CCUCAAGUUUACGUGACAAAAGCAUCGUUUUAAGCCGGCCUCUUUUGUUUCUUUGCGGAGUUCUUUGAUAGAAAAACGCAUUUAUGUUACAGCCCGACCGCCAACCGAGCGUAUAUUCAUGGAUUUACCGACAAAUACAAUACAUAGUAUUAUGCAUAGUUUCGUAUAUGCAAUUGUUCACAGGGCUUUCAUCCGAAUGAAUUAUUUCCUGGAUAGGAAGAGUAAUAAGACACACUAAUGUUUAAAGCUUGAUAAGCGUACCUCAAACUAUAUAACACUAGAAGAGGUAAAAAUCUAAGAAUUGAGGACAGGCAUUAGGGCGUUUAAGUUCAAGGGAGAGGUGCUAAAGUCAGAAGGCAGGAUAUUAUUCAAGAGAAAUAUAGAGGAAGUAAGAGAUGGAAGAUUAAAGACAAAAAGUAUUAGGGAGCGAAUAAAGUAGUUAAAUAGGAAUGGCUUUAGAGGGAAACAGAGAGAGGGAAUAAGGAAGGAAGAAUACAUUUAUGCGGAAUUGACGAGGAAAGAUAACCAGGUGCGUGGGCACCUGCAUUAUAAUAGAUUAAAUAAUAGUAGGUUAUAUAUAAUAAUAGUAGGUAAGCGAGGUUAAGAUGCGGUAGUGUAGAAGAUGCGGGCAGAUUCUGGCUAGAAGAAAACAAAGGAAAGUGUAAGUAUGAAAGUAGAUAGACUGAGAGAUGGCCUGAGAAACGUAGUAGACGAAAGAUACUGCAAAGAAACAAUAAAAUGGCUAAGGGAUUUAGAAAAAAAGGAAGAUAAACAAAACCAAAGCUAGGGUUAGGUAAUGAUAAAGUAGAAAUAGAGUAGAAAUAGAGUAGAAUAGGUUAACUAAAUAAGCAAUUAGUUAACCAAGAAGCGAUAGCAAAGCAAAUAUAAUUAUGAAAGGAUGAAUGAAAGAAGUUAUCUCCUGACUUGGUAGCUUUAAAUCUUUAAUUAUGCAAUACACGAAGAUAUACAUGUCUUGUACAGAGUGUGAGAAAAUUACAUAAUGCGACCAUCAUAAUGUGAUUCUACACCCAUAGUCUGGUCGAGAUCACAGAAAAGAUCAAUUCGCGUCCAUUAGUGUAAAGAAGAACCUGUUAUCGCUCUCGUUCGUGCUUUUCCAUUAAUGAAUAUAUGAAGCACAACUUGAGGUGUAGUAGUGUCUCACUGGACAGUGAUGCGAAUAAUUCGUGGAGGAGGCCUACAACCGUAUAGAAUUCAGCGCGCUCAAGCAUUACAAAGGAGGAGAUAGACAUGUACCAUAGACAAAGCGCAGAGAAAAUCAGCCCCAGGUAAUAAUAGGAUAGAUUCCAAAAUUUUACAAAAACAGGUAUAUGCUACGGGAAUAUCUGAAUAAAAAUCCACAAUGAGAUUUGGAAAAAUACAAGAUAUUUAAUGAAUGCAAGAAAGAAUGUAAUAAUUUUCCUAAAGAAACUGAAAAAAAAGUAUUGAGAUCAAUAACCUUGACGGUUUGCAUAGGAAAGAUACUGGAAAAAAUUAUAAACAACAGAUUAGUAGACGGGACAGAAAGGAACAAAGUAAUGGAUGGAGAAACAGAGGCACAAUGGAAAUCUAUAUAUUCAAUUCUUCUACAAGUCCACUGAUAGAAAUAGAGUACAAACAGACAAACUACACCAUGCAGAUCUAAGAGCAGCGAUAGGUUAUAGACUCAUAACUCCAUCAAAUAUAAUGAACAUAGAGGCUGGCAUAAUGGAUAUAGAAAGCAGGGCGGAAUUUAUAAUGGAAAAAUAUAUUACAAAAAAAAAGACUCGGUCCGAGGGUUGAAAUAAUAGAUGAUGAUUGAUCUAAUAAAGAAGCUAAAUUAAAAUUAAGCUUUACAAAAUUUACAAUUUAUCGUAUGAACCACACAAUAGUGUUAAACGUAAUCUGAACCUUUGUAUCCUGAUUACAAAAGUGGUUGUAUCACAGCAUGGCCGCAAAUACGCUACGUACCAGAUAAAUGAGCGAAGGAAACAAUUACACGUCAUUUCUCAUUGAUUGUUGCUUGAUUAGAACUAGUUUCUAAAAAAACUUUAAAGAACUAUGAGAAUUGUACCAAAUAUCAGUCUAUUAACCCGAUGCUAUCUAAUUUAACUAAAUCUACUGACAGAAGAUUAAUUUGGCGUCCGAAAUGCCAUAAUAAUAAUAAUAAUAAUGCCGAAAUAAAUAUAGUCAUGAUAGGUAUCAUUUUGUUCAUAAGAUUCUCAACAAUCCAACUGAAAUUAUCUCGUAACAAAGAAGUAAAAUAUAUAAAAACUGUGUUUUUCGUAUUUCGGCUAUUUAUUAAUAAUUGUCAUCGUUGGUACGAGUCAUAGAUAACACCGGGAAUUGUUUCGCGCAAUCAGUUCUAUGGAAUAGUCGCGAUAGCUAGCAAACCAAAUCGUUUAAAGAAAUUUUGUGUUUACUAAGUGUGUAUGAGUAUGCAAGAUUACGACCUCACACAGACUUGGAUAAAAUUGAACGGUCUCGAUCGAGACGGAAAGAGCCGAGGGGUAGGGUUACUCCAAUUUGUAUGUCAUAGGUAUCGGCUCAAGACCGCUUGACUUUUUCCAAGUCCGUCCAAUACCGAGCGGUUCGGAGGAUUCUCUAUCUCUGUCUUUCUUCGGUUUCACAGUAAAGAAACGAAAUAAAUUUUUGAGAUGACCUAAAAUGUUAUUAUUAAAUAUACAUCUGCAAUGGAGAUUGUACUGGGCUGUAAGUCUCAUUACAAUGAGCAAAUAAUGGUAGUAAUUAUAUAUAUAUUAAACUAAAUUUUUUUAUUACUUGAAAAUAUUUUUGUUUAACUUACAAUAAUAGUUUUUCAUUUUGUAAUAAGAUUCAAUUGUAAAUGUCCCAUAAUGCUAUGUAUCCAUCUUUUGCAGCUGUAGCCAUUAUAAAUUUAUUAUCAUAUGUUUUUAUUCUUUCUAUAGAAUAACUAAUAUCAUGUACAGUAUCCUUAUGUUGAUUUAAAACAGCUAAUGGUUUUAAAGUUUUCCAAGAAUAUAAUCUAAUUCGACUGUCCCAACCUCCUACUGCCAUAAUUUUAGCAUCAGGUCUAAUUGUAAUUAUAGAAGUGCCAGGAUUUGUCAUUGUUAUUUUGUUCUUAUUAUGCAGUAAAUGAUCAACUGAUAAACUAAAUAUCUAAAAAUGUAAAAUUUAUAUUAAUAUAAAAAAAACCAAUCUCAGUUAGCCUUCUAUUUAUAAAAGUGUUCAAUGAAAAUAAAUAUAUUUCCAAUUCAA
Long non-coding RNA from Bombus terrestris (buff-tailed bumblebee), 3213 nucleotides. RefSeq lists it as uncharacterized. The transcript has 2 exons. Lineage: Eukaryota; Metazoa; Arthropoda; Insecta; Hymenoptera; Apidae. The record is from RefSeq and is a predicted model, not a curated record.